Long non-coding RNA from Oncorhynchus tshawytscha (Chinook salmon), 330 nucleotides. NCBI's taxonomy places the organism in Eukaryota, Metazoa, Chordata, Actinopteri, Salmoniformes, Salmonidae. The record is from Ensembl.
GGUGAGGUCCAGUAGAGUCAGUCUGGUGAGGUCCAGUAGUCAGUCUGGUGAGGUCCAGUAGAGUCAGUCUGGUGAGGUCCAGUAGAGUCAGUCUGGUGAGGUCCAGUAAUCAGUCUGGUGAGGUCCAGUAAUCAGUCUGGUGAGGUCCAGUAGAGUCAGUCUGGUGAGGUCCAGUAGAGUCAGUCUGGUGAGGUCCAGUAGAGUCAGUCUGGUGAGGUCCAGUAGAGUCAGUCUGGUGAGGUCCAGUCCAGAGAGCUUUCUCCUUUCUGUGAUCGCUGCUGGAUUGUAUUAUGAUAUUAUUUUCCCACUGUCACUUUCUCUGUGUGUGUG